GGGCCCGCACAAGCGGUGGAGCAUGUGGUUCAAUUCGACGCAACGCGAAGAACCUUACCUGGGCUCGAACGGCUUUCGACAAGCUGUAGAAAUAUGGCCUUCUCGCAAGAGACGGAAGUCGAGGUGCUGCAUGGCUGUCGUCAGCUCGUGUCGUGAGAUGUUGGGUUAAGUCCCGCAACGAGCGCAACCCUCGUCCUGUGUUGCUACCCGCAAGGGGCACUCUCAGGAGACCGCCGGCGAUAAGCUGGAGGAAGGUGGGGAUGACGUCAAGUCAUCAUGGCCUUUAUGUCCAGGGCUACACACGUGCUACAAUGGACGGUACAAACCGCUGCAAACCCGCGAGGGGGAGCUAAUCGGAGAAAACCGUUCUCAGUUCGGAUCGCAGGCUGCAACUCGCCUGCGUGAAGCUGGAAUCGCUAGUAAUGGCGUAUCAGAACGACGCCGUGAAUACGUUCCCGGGCCUU
This 464-nucleotide ribosomal RNA is filed under the name uncultured bacterium. Its description in RNAcentral is "bacterial SSU rRNA". It matches the Rfam family "Bacterial small subunit ribosomal RNA", at positions 917 to 1382 of the family's 1533-position model. The record is from RNAcentral.